RNAcentral lists this long non-coding RNA (265 nucleotides) under Lathyrus oleraceus (garden pea). Its description in RNAcentral is "Pisum sativum (pea) long non-coding RNA (PSAT_LNC015616)". Lineage: Eukaryota; Viridiplantae; Streptophyta; Magnoliopsida; Fabales; Fabaceae. The record is from RNAcentral.
UUUCUUUUUCCUUUUAAUUUUUAUUUAAAUACCUCCUUUUAUCCAAAUAUCCCCAAAUAAUUCAUGGUUGAUAUUUUGUUUAUUAUUUAAUUUUCCCUAUUUUUAAUUUUUAAUUUUUAAUUUAUUUUAAUAUUUAUUUUGUUUUUUGUAUCUAAUUAUGUUUAAUUAACCUAGUUUUAUUUGUUAGGGUUUGAUGUUUAAUUCUCCCAUUUGAAUUUUGAUCCAAUAUUUUGUACACAUGUAGACACAUGAAUAUAUGUCAUUU